This 1888-nucleotide long non-coding RNA is filed under the name Homo sapiens (human). RNAcentral describes it as "HSALNT0121793". The record is from RNAcentral. Lineage: Eukaryota; Metazoa; Chordata; Mammalia; Primates; Hominidae.
GCACAGUGAGACCUGCGUGCGGGAGGCGCACUCCACCUCAACCCAGCGCGCCGCCUGGAACAGCCCCCGGAGCCGGGGAGCUGAGCUAGGGAAGGCCGAGGGCUUUGCCUGCAGGCCAUUGUUAAUAAAACUCAUUACUCUGGGAAUGUUCCGAGGCAGCCCGACCCUUGCCUGCCUAAGAAAAUCAGCCUCUGCUCCUCAUUCUAAGCCCUUAUCCAACGUCCCCACCUGCAAGACCAGUUCCUGAGGGUCGGCAUGAAGAAGAGGAAAAGCACGUGGAGGAUAGAGUAAAAUACGUAGACUAAGAGAGAAAGUAGGAUGCGGUGAUGGAAGUGAGAGCCGCUUGGAAAAAACUGGGAGAGAGGAGGAGGAGGUGGCGCUUGGAGCAGCAAAGACUCUGCGGUGUGUGCGCGUGCGCGCGAGAAAGAAUGGGGAAAGUAAUAGAUACUCGAAAGGCUGACUGGGUUGAUGAAUGGAAUUCCCCUCCGUAAUUUUUGGAGUCAUAAUUUUUGCCCCUUGGACUGUGCUUCUUGAAGUGCAGCGUGCCUGGAGCCCGGGCCGUGGGGCCACUCGGCUACGGAUGCUAUGUGAUCUAACCAGGACCCAGGAAGGGGCCCUCUGGCUGCAGUGAGAGAGGGGUACACGGGGCGACACGCAGUGUUCUCAGGAGGGCGGCACAGCUGCUGCAGGUGAGAAGUGCUGGGGACGGUCGAGAUCACUGGACGCCCUCAGAAAUGGUACUGCGGCUGGAGAAAUCAUUAACGAGGAAAGAAAUAACCCAAUUUCCGGGAGGCUGGGACAGGAGAAUUGCUUGAACCCGGGAGCAGAGGUUGCCGGGAGCCGAGAUCGCGCCACUGCACUCCAGCCUGGGCGACAGAGCGAGAUUCCGUCUCAAAAAAAAAAAAGAAAAGAAAAGAAAAGAAAGGAAAAGAAAAGAAGAGAAAAGAAAGAAACACCCAAUUUCAGAAAGAGAUGAGAAUGGAGAGCUCAGAAGACACAAUUUCUCUCUCACACUUCUGCCUUCUGGCCACAUCCUCCCAGACAGGAUAAAUUUGAAGGUGGUUCCCCCACGCCCCGCUAAAGAAAGGUCUUGUUUUCCAGAGCUAUCUCCAACUUUGCCACCUGAGAAACACAAGUCCAAGUCCAAUACUUACAGAAGAAAUAACUAUUCCACCUAGUCAAGGAACUAGCCAACACUUAAUGGAGGAUUGCCCUUGGUUAUAGAGCUAACUGCAAAUGAAGUAACUAGAGGAAGACCAUUUACCUUCUCCAUUGAAGAGACCAUUCAAGAGCCAACUCAGCAAUCAGGGUCUAGCAGUGUUACUGACUGGAUGACUGGCACUUAGAGUCCAGCACCCUGCUGAGAAACCAGCAACCCAUGUGAGGAUUCCAUGGCCAACUGAGAUCACAAGACUCUUGAACAGAAGAAAUGCCAAGAGAGCUAGAAUCUUACAGAUGGUGGUAUUAAUAAUGGAGCAAACUAGAACCAAUGACAAAGACAUGAAGUCUGAAAAUAGCACAGAGAAUAUAAAUAUUGUGAGAUGAAUGUUCCCCCUUCAAUUCUCCUUAUUUGCCAAAUAUUUUCAUUUCCUUUUGUCAUUAUAGAAAAUAAAACCAUGCAUCACAGUCAAAAGUGCUCCACUAGCAACAUUGUAUGAUUCACUCUUUUUGUCAUACAUGUCUUUAGUAAUUGAUGGAUAUUAAAAUCACACAGACUAUUUAAUAAGGGCUUAUUUUACUUGCAUCGCCACUUUGAUUCAAAAAAAGAUUUAAGGUAGUUAAUAAGGUUAGAAGGAAAGAGAGUUAACAAAGACAAGAACUUUAACUAGAGUCAAAACUAAAGUCAAUAUUUAAGAAAUAAACACCACAUAGUCUCCCACGCUUUCUC